UGCCCAGACUCCUACGGGAGGCAGCAGUGAGGAAUAUUGGUCAAUGGGCGGGAGCCUGAACCAGCCAAGCCGCGUGAGGGAAGAAGGUACAGCGUAUCGUAAACCUCUUUUGUCAGGGAACAAAGGCGGGGACUAGUCCCCGGAUGAGGGUACCUGAAGAAAAAGCAUCGGCUAACUCCGUGCCAGCAGCCGCGGUAAUACGGAGGAUGCGAGCGUUAUCCGGAUUUAUUGGGUUUAAAGGGUGCGCAGGCGGCCUGUUAAGACAAGGGUAAAAGCCCGGGGCUCAACCCCGGCGAGCCGUUGAACCUGGCGGGCUGGAGUUGGAGAGAAGUACGCGGAAUGCGUGGUGUAGCGGUGAAAUGCAUAGAUAUCACGCAGAACUCCGAUUGCGAAGGCAGCAUACCGGCGCUCAACUGACGCUCAUGCACGAAAGCGUGGGUAUCGAACAGGAUUAGAUACCCCAGUAUAA
Molecule: ribosomal RNA, 469 nt
Filed under: uncultured bacterium
Lineage: Bacteria
Description: bacterial SSU rRNA
Rfam family: Bacterial small subunit ribosomal RNA
Source: RNAcentral